GACGAGUCACUACGGUGAUGAAGUAGCUCAUGCCCCGCUUCCAGGAAAAGCCUCUAAGCUCUAGAUUAUCAUUAAUCGUACCCCAAACCGACACAGGUGGUCAGGUAGAGAAUACUCAGGCGCUUGAGAGAACUCGGGUGAAGGAACUAGGCAAAAUGGUGCCGUAACUUCGGGAGAAGGCACGCUGGCAUUAGGUGAAGUGGUUUACCCAUGGAGCUGAAGCCAGUCGCAGAUACCAGCUGGCUGCAACUGUUUAUUAAAAACACAGCACUGUGCAAACACGAAAGUGGACGUAUACGGUGUGACGCCUGCCCGGUGCUGGAAGGUUAAUUGAUGGGGUUAUCCGUAAGGAGAAGCUCUUGAUCGAAGCCCCAGUAAACGGCGGCCGUAACUAUAACGGUCCUAAGGUAGCGAAAUUCCUUGUCGGGUAAGUUCCGACCUGCACGAAUGGCGUAAUGAUGGCCAGGCUGUCUCCACCCGAGACUCAGUGAAAUUGAACUCGCUGUGAAGAUGCAGUGUACCCGCGGCAAGACGGAAAGACCCCGUGAACCUUUACUAUAGCUUGACACUGAACAUUGAGCCUUGAUGUGUAGGAUAGGUGGGAGGCUUUGAAGCGUGGACGCCAGUCUGCGUGGAGCCAACCUUGAAAUACCACCCUUUAAUGUUUGAUGUUCUAACGUUGCCCCGUUAUCCGGGGUGCGGACAGUGUCUGGUGGGUAGUUUGACUGGGGCGGUCUCCUCCCAAAGAGUAACGGAGGAGCACGAAGGUUGGCUAAGCAUGGUCGGACAUCAUGCGGUUAGUGCAAAGGCAUAAGCCAGCUUGACUGCGAGAGUGACGGCUCGAGCAGGUACGAAAGUAGGUCUUAGUGAUCCGGUGGUUCUGAAUGGAAGGGCCAUCGCUCAACGGAUAAAAGGUACUCCGGGGAUAACAGGCUGAUACCGCCCAAGAGUUCAUAUCGACGGCGGUGUUUGGCACCUCGAUGUCGGCUCAUCACAUCCUGGGGCUGAAGUAGGUCCCAAGGGUACGGCUGUUCGCCGUUUAAAGUGGUACGCGAGCUGGGUUUAGAACGUCGUGAGACAGUUCGGUCCCUAUCUGCCGUGGGCGUUGGAAGAUUGAAAGGGGCUGCUCCUAGUACGAGAGGACCGGAGUGGACGCACCACUGGUGUUCGGGUUGUCAUGCCAAUGGCAUUGCCCGGUAGCUAAGUGCGGAAGAGAUAACCGCUGAAAGCAUCUAAGCGGGAAACUUGCCUUGAGAUGAGUCUUCCCUGACUCUUUAAGAGUCCUAAAGGAACGUUUAAGACUAAGACGUUGAUAGGUUGGGUGUGUAAGCGUAGCGAUACGUUGAGCUAACCAAUACUAAUGAACCGUGAGGCUUAACCUGACAACACCGAAGGUGUUUUAG
This 1403-nucleotide ribosomal RNA is filed under the name Providencia sp. MGF014. RNAcentral's name for it is "partial 23S ribosomal RNA". It matches the Rfam family "Bacterial large subunit ribosomal RNA", at positions 1568 to 2925 of the family's 2925-position model. The record is from RNAcentral. Lineage: Bacteria; Pseudomonadati; Pseudomonadota; Gammaproteobacteria; Enterobacterales; Morganellaceae.